RNAcentral lists this ribosomal RNA (501 nucleotides) under uncultured bacterium. RNAcentral's name for it is "partial 16S ribosomal RNA". It matches the Rfam family "Bacterial small subunit ribosomal RNA", at positions 30 to 523 of the family's 1533-position model. The record is from RNAcentral.
AUUGAACGCUGGCGGCAGGCUUAACACAUGCAAGUCGAGCGGGGGAAGGUAGCUUGCUACCGGACCUAGCGGCGGACGGGUGAGUAAUGCUUAGGAAUCUGCCUAUUAGUGGGGGACAACAUCUCGAAAGGGAUGCUAAUACCGCAUACGUCCUACGGGAGAAAGCAGGGGAUCUUCGGACCUUGCGCUAAUAGAUGAGCCUAAGUCGGAUUAGCUAGUUGGUGGGGUAAAGGCCUACCAAGGCGACGAUCUGUAGCGGGUCUGAGAGGAUGAUCCGCCACACUGGGACUGAGACACGGCCCAGACUCCUACGGGAGGUAGCAGUGGGGAAUAUUGGACAAUGGGGGGAACCCUGAUCCGGCCAUGCCGCGUGUGUGAAGAAGGCCUUAUGGUUGUAAAGCACUUUAAGCGAGGAGGAGGCUACUUUAGUUAAUACCUAGAGAUAGUGGACGUUACUCGCAGAAUAAGCACCGGCUAACUCUGUGCCAGCCGCCGCUGUAA